Molecule: ribosomal RNA, 468 nt
Filed under: uncultured bacterium
Lineage: Bacteria
Description: partial 16S ribosomal RNA
Rfam family: Bacterial small subunit ribosomal RNA
Source: RNAcentral
GACGAACGCUGGCGGCGUGCUUAACACAUGCAAGUCGAACGGAAAGGCCCUGCUUUUGUGGGGUGCUCGAGUGGCGAACGGGUGAGUAACACGUGAGUAACCUGCCCUUGACUUUGGGAUAACUUCAGGAAACUGGGGCUAAUACCGGAUAGGAGCUCCUGCUGCAAGGUGGGGGUUGGAAAGUUUCGGCGGUUGGGGAUGGACUCGCGGCCUAUCAGCUUGUUGGUGGGGUAGAGGCUUACCAAGGCUUUGACGGGUAGCCGGCCUGAGAGGGUGACCGGCCACAUUGGGACUGAGAUACGGCCCAGACUCCUACGGGAGGCAGCAGUGGGGAAUAUUGCACAAUGGGCGGAAGCCUGAUGCAGCAACGCCGCGUGCGGGAUGACGGCCUUCGGGUUGUAAACCGCUUUCGCCUGUGACGAAGCGUGAGUGACGGUAAUGGGUAAAGAAGCACCGGCUAACUACGUG